GAUGAACGCUGGCAGCGUGCCUAAUACAUGCAAGUCGAGCGAACAGACGAGGAGCUUGCUCCUCUGACGUUAGCGGCGGACGGGUGAGUAACACGUGGAUAACCUACCUAUAAGACUGGGAUAACUUCGGGAAACCGGAGCUAAUACCGGAUAAUAUAUUGAACCGCAUGGUUCAAUAGUGAAAGACGGUUUUGCUGUCACUUAUAGAUGGAUCCGCGCCGCAUUAGCUAGUUGGUAAGGUAACGGCUUACCAAGGCAACGAUGCGUAGCCGACCUGAGAGGGUGAUCGACCACACUGGAACUGAGACACGGUCCAGACUCCUACGGGAGGCAGCAGUAGGGAAUCUUCCGCAAUGGGCGAAAGCCUGACGGAGCAACGCCGCGUGAGUGAUGAAGGUCUUCGGAUCGUAAAACUCUGUUAUUAGGGAAGAACAAAUGUGUAAGUAACUAUGCACGUCUUGACGGUACCUAAUCAGAAAGCCACGGCUAACUACGUG
RNAcentral lists this ribosomal RNA (497 nucleotides) under uncultured bacterium. Its description in RNAcentral is "partial 16S ribosomal RNA". It matches the Rfam family "Bacterial small subunit ribosomal RNA", at positions 28 to 507 of the family's 1533-position model. The record is from RNAcentral.